UCAGACUACGAAAUGACUAGUCUCAUUAUAUAGCGCCGUUAAUAAUAGAGAUUUACAUAUUUGAUAUAACAUAUAGUGUGUGUAUAUAUAUAUAUAAUUAUUAAUUAAAGGGAGGGAGUUACAACUCCAUCUCCUUAACUUUCUCAACCAUAACGUGGAUGUGUGGUGGUUCGGUUUUCUUCUUCCACAAUUUCUGUUUUUUGAAACAGAGAACUCUCUCUGGUUCAUCUCCCUGGAAAAACAUAGAAGAAAAGCAAGUUUUCUUCUCCCUCCUCUCUUCCUUUCCUCCCUUUCUAAAAUUCAAGCAAAGCUCGCAACUUUUGCUUGAAUUUUCAAUCCCAACAGAAUACAUAAAAUUCUCUAGUAGUGGUGCCCAUUUUGGGAUUUCGGAUCGAAGUUCGAAACGUUCGUGAUCGGAUCGAGAGACUACGCGAAGAAGAUUGGCUUCAAGUCACUCGUGCUGUUCCCGAUGAGUAUCUAGAGAAAACGAGGUCAAAAAUGGAGGAAAUUUGAAGGAGAUUGCGGCUGUACAGUACAGGCUGUACCGCAGCAUUGCAAUGUUGCGAUGAGGCGGAACGAAAUUUUUUUCAUAGCGUUGCAAUGCUAGAACAGAAUAUUGCAACACUUCGAGACUUAACAAAUUUUCUGGUUCGCACGCGGUUUGGUUCGUAGCUUGAUUGGUUUGUGUUCGGUUCGCUUGGUUCGAGUAGUUCAAGGGUGGUUCAGAGGUUGAGCGGUAUGGUUCGUGCGGUUCAAGGGCCGGUUCACUUGUUUUGAACAGAUUUAACUAUUUUGAAUGUAAUAGUUUUUUAUUAAUUAAAUUACUAUAAAUGUUAUAUUAAUUUAAUUAAUACUUUAGGAGUACAAUCUUGAUCCA
This is a long non-coding RNA of Benincasa hispida (wax gourd), 877 nucleotides long. RefSeq lists it as uncharacterized. The record is from RefSeq and is a predicted model, not a curated record. Lineage: Eukaryota; Viridiplantae; Streptophyta; Magnoliopsida; Cucurbitales; Cucurbitaceae.